Molecule: ribosomal RNA, 425 nt
Filed under: uncultured bacterium
Lineage: Bacteria
Description: partial 16S ribosomal RNA
Rfam family: Bacterial small subunit ribosomal RNA
Source: RNAcentral
GUGGGGAAUCUUGCGCAAUGGGCGAAAGCCUGACGCAGCCAUGCCGCGUGAAUGAUGAAGGUCUUAGGAUUGUAAAAUUCUUUCACCGGGGACGAUAAUGACGGUACCCGGAGAAGAAGCUCCGGCUAACUUCGUGCCAGCAGCCGCGGUAAUACGAAGGGGGCUAGCGUUGCUCGGAAUUACUGGGCGUAAAGGGCGCGUAGGCGGACAGCUUAGUCAGAGGUGAAAGCCCAGGGCUCAACCUUGGAAUUGCCUUUGAGACUGGCUGUCUUGAGUUUGGGAGAGGUGAGUGGAACUCCGAGUGUAGAGGUGAAAUUCGUAGAUAUUCGGAAGAACACCAGUGGCGAAGGCGACUCACUGGCCCAAGACUGACGCUGAGGCGCGAAAGCGUGGGGAGCAAACAGGAUUAGAUACCCGAGUAGUCC